This 460-nucleotide ribosomal RNA is filed under the name uncultured bacterium. RNAcentral's name for it is "partial 16S ribosomal RNA". It matches the Rfam family "Bacterial small subunit ribosomal RNA", at positions 338 to 795 of the family's 1533-position model. The record is from RNAcentral.
CCUACGGGCGGCUGCAGUGAGGAAUAUUGGUCAAUGGCCGGAAGGCUGAACCAGCCAUGCCGCGUGAAGGUCAGUGCCCUAUGGGCGUUAAACUUCUUUUGUGCGGGAGCAAUAAUGGUCACGUGUGGCCAGACGAGAGUACCGUACGAAUAAGCAUCGGCUAACUCCGUGCCAGCAGCCGCGGUAAUACGGGGGAUGCAAGCGUUAUCCGGAGUUAUUGGGUUUAAAGGGUGCGUAGGCUGUGAGGUAAGUCAGCGGUGAAAUGCCCCCGCUCAACGGGGUGAAGUGCCAUUGAUACUGCCUGGCUGGAAUGCGGAUGCCGUGGGAGGAAUGUGUGGUGUAGCGGUGAAAUGCAUAGAUAUCACACAGAACACCGAUUGUGAAGGCAUCUCACGAAUCCGCGAUUGACGCUGAUGCACGAAAGCGUGGGUAUCAAACAGGAUUAGAUACCCCAGUAGUC